This 238-nucleotide long non-coding RNA is filed under the name Bos taurus (domestic cattle). RNAcentral describes it as "long non-coding RNA NONBTAT001020". Lineage: Eukaryota; Metazoa; Chordata; Mammalia; Artiodactyla; Bovidae. The record is from RNAcentral.
UUCUAGACUGCAUGGUGUUUCCCUAAGCAUGUUUCCCCCAGUAUAAUUCUAAAGUAUUACAACGGAGUUAUAAAAAACUAAUAAACUCUCAUAAAAUCUUUCCUAUUUGUAUUACCUGGCCCACACAGAGAUUUCUAAACAGAGCUGGCCCCAUCAGUUGGCAGAAUAUAUGAAAUGAGAGUUGCUUCACACAACCACCAACAGAUCUCUUCCACCUCCCAUCAAACUACCUUAAUUU